UCUACGGGGGGCUGCAGUGGGGAAUAUUGCACAAUGGGCGCAAGCCUGAUGCAGCCAUGCCGCGUGUGUGAAGAAGGCCUUCGGGUUGUAAAGCACUUUCAGCGGGGAGGAAGGCGUUAAGGUUAAUAACCUUGGCGAUUGACGUUACCCGCAGAAGAAGCACCGGCUAACUCCGUGCCAGCAGCCGCGGUAAUACGGAGGGUGCAAGCGUUAAUCGGAAUUACUGGGCGUAAAGCGCACGCAGGCGGUCUGUCAAGUCGGAUGUGAAAUCCCCGGGCUCAACCUGGGAACUGCAUUCGAAACUGGCAGGCUAGAGUCUUGUAGGGGGGGGUAGAAUUCCAGGUGUAGCGGUGAAAUGCAUAGAGAUCUGGAGGAAUACCGGGGGCCAAGGCGGCCCCCUGGACAAAGACUGACGCUCAGGUGCGAAAGCGUGGGGAGCAAACAGGAUUAAUACCCUUGUAGUC
RNAcentral lists this ribosomal RNA (464 nucleotides) under uncultured Klebsiella sp. RNAcentral's name for it is "bacterial SSU rRNA". It matches the Rfam family "Bacterial small subunit ribosomal RNA", at positions 338 to 795 of the family's 1533-position model. The record is from RNAcentral. Lineage: Bacteria; Pseudomonadati; Pseudomonadota; Gammaproteobacteria; Enterobacterales; Enterobacteriaceae.